Molecule: ribosomal RNA, 252 nt
Filed under: uncultured bacterium
Lineage: Bacteria
Description: partial 16S ribosomal RNA
Rfam family: Bacterial small subunit ribosomal RNA
Source: RNAcentral
UACGGAGGAUGCGAGCGUUAUCCGGAUUUAUUGGGUUUAAAGGGUGCGUAGGCGGGCUUUUAAGUCAGCGGUAAAAAUUCGGGGCUCAACCCCGUCCGGCCGUUGAAACUGGGGGCCUUGAGUGGGCGAGAAGAAGGCGGAAUGCGUGGUGUAGCGGUGAAAUGCAUAGAUAUCACGCAGAACCCCGAUUGCGAAGGCAGCCUUCCGGCGCCCAACUGACGCUGAAGCACGAAGGCGUGGGUAUCGAACAGG